RNAcentral lists this unclassified non-coding RNA (1434 nucleotides) under Hevea brasiliensis (rubber tree). The record is from RNAcentral. Lineage: Eukaryota; Viridiplantae; Streptophyta; Magnoliopsida; Malpighiales; Euphorbiaceae.
GACCCAGUCGAGGCGGCAGAGGGGAGCCUCGCGGCGCCUCGCCUCGCCUGGGCGCCUCUCACACCUUUAAUAACACUACUUAGCACUAUGCUUCUAAAUUUCAAAUCUUAUCAAUCUAGUUUGAUUGUGGCAAAUUACUUGACUUAUCACAAGGAUCAUUAUGCAUCUACCUUUAAAGAUUGGAUUCAUUGUGACAUUCUAAACUUAUUAAAAAAUCUCUCUCUUCUACUUAUCAUUUUAUCUUUCUUGUUUUGUUCUUAAUUUGCAUCAAAACUCCAAAUGCUUUUUUACUUUGUCGCAAGUUAAAUCAAAAAAUACCAAAAGAGUUACCAUCUGACUAUAUUCAAUUCUUGUGUUUUGAGUGUUCUCACUUAUUUUUACUUAUUUCCUAUUUAUUUAAUAUUAGUUUUCUCCUUUCUUUUUCUUAAUUCAAAUUUCUUGUUUAUUUAAUUCAAUUGAGUUAUUACUUUCCUCGCCAAGGCACAUCAACACCGGAACAAAAUUAGAUGGAGUACAUAAACGGGAACCCAUAUCAACAUGUACUGAAAAAAAAAAAUAGAACAAACAGAUUCAUAUGAACAAACAAGCAUACCCAGUGUAGUAAUUCUUUGGUAGAUAUACAUCCUUCACAGGUCCAUAUUUCUCAAAAGGAACCCUAAGGUCUUCAGGCCUGGCGUCAAGAGGUAGAUUGCGAACAAGCAAGCCAGAUGGAGCAGGGGAGCGGCGUUCGCGGUAAGAACGGCUGUCGCGGUAGCGAUCACGGGGAUCUUCAUCUUCAUAGUAGUGCUUCCGGCCACGUGGUGGGGUUCUGCUGCUACGACGGGGACUGUAGCUCCUACUUCGGCUCCUGUACCUCGGCAUUGUAACAGAAUUCAGAAAAACCCUAACCUAGAGAGGGUUUCUUAGUAGGUUUCGAUAAUUAGAGAGAGAGAGAGAGAAAAUAAGAGGAACAGCAGUUUUUGUACAAGCAAAGCACACUAAAACUUGCUCUAACAGAUAUUGGCAUCAUUACAGAAGUAGAUGGAACAAGCAAAGAUGGACUUGAUUGAGCCAUUGUACAACCCAAAUAAAUCCAAGAAAGGCAAAGGAGCAUUAUGAUACGAUAAAAGAUUUGAAAUGCUAAGCAAGCACAGACCAAAGGUUAAACAUUAUUAUUAGUCCAAAGAGAGAACUGAAAUGAUUGUCAGCUAAUCUCUGCAGCUCUUGAUAAUGAACAUAUUAGAUAUCAACUCACUAAAUAAUAGUUGAAGUUACUCUUAGAUUCGAAUUCCCAACUGUAACUGCUACAUUAAAUAUUAAUAUAUCAUAAGCAAUACAAGACAGUUGCACACGGCUUAAAGCAUGAUGACAAGGGGAAGAAUCAGAAGGAGAUUAAAACUAGGCCUUGGUUUGAAUAUUUGGAAUUAGAGAGUUUAAGUUCAAAAUGUGAACUCA